Molecule: non-coding RNA, 46 nt
Filed under: unclassified sequences
Description: SAM-SAH-Weickhmann-2018 RNA
Rfam family: SAM/SAH riboswitch aptamer
Source: RNAcentral
CCGCCACAACGGCCUCCUGGCGUGGCGGGAAAACCCCAAUGGAGCA